GAGAAAGGAGAGAAAGGAAAGCGCGAGGAGCCGCCGCCACCACCAGCGCAGCAGUCCUGGAGCUGUGAGGAGAUUCGGGCCGUCACCCUGCCUCCCCUGCGUCCCGCCACCGGCCGCUUCUGUCCUCGGACCCAUUCCAACAAUCUCGUAAAACAUGGUGGAUUACUAUGAAGUUCUAGGCGUGCAGAGACAUGCCUCACCCGAGGAUAUUAAAAAGGCAUAUCGGAAACUGGCACUGAAGUGGCAUCCAGAUAAAAAUCCUGAGAAUAAAGAAGAAGCAGAGAGAAAAUUCAAGCAAGUAGCGGAGGCAUAUGAAGUGCUGUCGGAUGCUAAGAAACAGGACAUCUAUGACAAAUAUGGCAAAGAAGGAUUAAAUGGUGGAGGAGGAGGUGGAAGUCAUUUUGACAGUCCAUUUGAAUUUGGCUUCACAUUCCGUAACCCAGAUGAUGUCUUCAGGGAAUUUUUUGGUGGAAGGGACCCAUUUUCAUUUGACUUCUUUGAAGACCCUUUUGAGGACUUCUUUGGGAAUCGAAGGGGUCCCCGAGGAAGCAGAAGCCGAGGGACGGGGUCGUUUUUCUCCGUGUUCAGUGGAUUUCCGUCUUUUAGAAGUGGAUUUUCUUCUUUUGAUACAGGAUUUACUUCAUUUGGGUCACUAGGUCACGGGGGCCUCACUUCAUUCUCUUCCACGUCAUUUGGUGGUAGUGGCAUGGGCAACUUCAAAUAGAUAUCAACUUCAACUAAAAUGGUUAAUGGCAGAAAAAUCACUACAAAGAGAAUUGUCGAGAACGGUCAAGAAAGAGUAGAAGUUGAAGAAGAUGGCCAGUUAAAGUCCUUAACAAUAAAUGGUAAGGAGCAGGUGCUGCGCUUGGAUAACAAGUAAUUCAACGCACGCACUUAACAGAAAUGUUAAACUAUAACAAGCACCAUUUGAGGAUUAACAGGAACAUUUUUUUGAAGAUUUCAAACGAACUCGACUUUCAGUAUAAUUGUACCUAAAGUAUUUAUAAACAGCUCAUCGGAGCCUCUAUUUGUCAUAGACUUUUGAGUUGAUUGUUGGGACCACAUAAUAGGACCAUUUUUUUUUUGUCUUUAAAAUUGUUGUAAAUCUCUGUAUGCACUUUGCUUUUUUAUUAAACGUACUCCAAGGUGAGUCUUGACUCUUUAGUGUAGGACAAGAUUGUACACUAACACCAGCAUGGACCUGCUUUUCAUUGUGUCUGAAAUGUGAGCCACGUAGUGUCGGCCUGCUGUGAAGUUAACAUUGCCAGGACGAUUCUUCUACAGAAAUAAUUUCAAAUUUUUUCAGCAUUUAGUAGUGAAAGAUAUUAAUACAUUAAUGGUAAUACAUUUCUGGUUUAAUAUAAAUUAAGGAUGUUUUCUAGUUGUGCAUGAAUGCUGGCAACUUAGUAAGUUUUGACAAUUGUUUAAAUAUGUAAUGUUAAGCUUAGGUUUAAAAAAGUAAAGCUGGUAAACUGGGUCUUUGUCAUUUGCUUUAAAAAAAAAAAAAAGAAAAUAAAUGCGAAUGUGUUGGUGCAUUCAAAAAAAA
This 1546-nucleotide long non-coding RNA is filed under the name Homo sapiens (human). Its description in RNAcentral is "non-protein coding lnc-ETS1-7:1". The record is from RNAcentral. Lineage: Eukaryota; Metazoa; Chordata; Mammalia; Primates; Hominidae.